UACGUAGGGGGCUAGCGUUGUCCGGAAUCAUUGGGCGUAAGGAGCGCGUAGGCGGCCAGAUAAGUCCGGUGUGAAAGUCACAGGCUCAACCUGUGAAUGCCGCUGGAAACUGUCUGGCUAGAGUCCGGGAGGGGCGAGUGGAAUUCCUGGUGUAGCGGUGAAAUGCGCAGAUAUCAGGAGGAACACCAAUGGCGAAGGCAGCUCGCUGGAACGGUACUGACGCUGAGGCGCGAAAGCUAGGGGAGCAAACAGG
This 253-nucleotide ribosomal RNA is filed under the name uncultured bacterium. Its description in RNAcentral is "partial 16S ribosomal RNA". It matches the Rfam family "Bacterial small subunit ribosomal RNA", at positions 524 to 776 of the family's 1533-position model. The record is from RNAcentral.